This 409-nucleotide long non-coding RNA is filed under the name Phoenix dactylifera (date palm). RNAcentral describes it as "long non-coding RNA (PDAC_LNC005501)". The record is from RNAcentral. Lineage: Eukaryota; Viridiplantae; Streptophyta; Magnoliopsida; Arecales; Arecaceae.
AUCGAGCCCAAUUGCACUAAUUUAGACCCAAUCAAAUCCAAUCUCAACAAUUGAGUCCUGAUCAAGUUCAAUUACAUUAAUUGAAACUUGAUUGACCCAAAAUACAGACUUAAUUAGUUGUUCAUCUAUGAAGUUUAGCAUGUACCUCAUGUUCAGUGCUAGCUGAACAUAGACAGAACCAAAUUCCAAAUAACCCACAAUUUAAUUCUUAAUUAAAUUGGGUCAAGACCUUCCUACUUAGUUUGACUAAUGUGCGUGACUCCGAUAGGUUCGAACACUAAGCCGGUAGUACAUGGACUACUCCAUGCACUAAUCGAGGUGACCAUCUAGCAAUGAUACCCGACGUCCGGAUAGGUCGAAUAUGCAAAGCAACAUUCAAGAACCUAGACGUAUGAUUGUUGCAUAAUUC